GCUGGAAUCGCUAGUAAUCGCGAAUCAGCAUGUCGCGGUGAAUACGUUCCCGGGUCUUGUACACACCGCCCGUCACACCAUGGGAGUCGGUAACGCCCGAAGUCAGUGACCCAACCGGAAGGAGGGAGCUGCCGAAGGCGGGACUGGUAACUGGGGUGAAGUCGUAACAAGGUAUC
This 176-nucleotide ribosomal RNA is filed under the name uncultured bacterium. RNAcentral describes it as "partial 16S ribosomal RNA". It matches the Rfam family "Bacterial small subunit ribosomal RNA", at positions 1325 to 1500 of the family's 1533-position model. The record is from RNAcentral.